GGGGUGACCUUAAUUGAAUUUCUGCCUGCGCUGAGAGUCGCUAGGUAUAACAAGGGGUCACAUCACCUGGAGGGCAACACUUCAACCCUCAACAUGGAGCGACGCACCUUCCUCUCUGUGCUGCUGGUUCUGAGCUGUGCGGUGGCAGUGAACCUCGCGAACCCUUUGCCAAAUGACCCUGAAUCCCUUGAGGGCGAGUAUCCUUCUUUGUCUUCAAGAAUGGAACCCUUAGCAUUGAAAUCUGGCUAUGGUGGUGGCAACGGUGGUGGAAACGGUGGUAGCUACGGUGGUGGUUAUGGUGGCAGAGGUCUUGGUGGUGAUGAUGGUAGACGGGUUGGUGGUAUCGGUGCUGGAAGAGAUUAUGGUGGUGGGUAUGGCAAUAACAAUGAACAAGAACCCCAAGUUGUUUUCAAGCUGUGACUGCCUCUGGGCUUGUUUGACGGUCCUGCUCUCCUUGGCAUCCGUGGCAGGUUACACUAAGCUGGUUAACUCCCGCACCACCAGGAGAAACAUGCAACACUAACCCCAGGGACGCCAAGGAGAUAUAACCGCCACAUGGACUGACUGACUGACUGGAGAACGAUUGACUAAUCGUAUAAAAGGAUAACGGUCGUACUAUUCUGAUCUUCACGCGUCUCUCACGUUAUUUACUUGGCAGUUAUUGGAUUAAAUUGUUUGUUCUCACUUCUUGCUUUCCCUUUUCAGUAAAUGGUAAUAAUAAAGAUAUGAAUAAU
Portunus trituberculatus (swimming crab) is the source of this 734-nucleotide long non-coding RNA. RefSeq lists it as uncharacterized. NCBI's taxonomy places the organism in Eukaryota, Metazoa, Arthropoda, Malacostraca, Decapoda, Portunidae. The record is from RefSeq and is a predicted model, not a curated record. The transcript is spliced from 3 exons.